GGAUUUUUUUUUGUAAGAAAUGGGGCACCAGGCCUAGGACCAAUUAAUAUUAGGACAACAACCGCCACUUUAAAAGGACCAUUCUUCUUUUUACGAAAGGGGAAGCCGCUAUACUAUUUUGGCUUUUGAACGUUUUUAAGGGGAGCUUUCAAAAUGUUAUUGAUGUGGUUGCAUUUUGAUGAAUGAAAAAAAAAGCACACUCUCUUCUCCGUUUUCAUUUAUGCAAGGCUGAAACAUUUUUUUCUUUUGAGUUUCUCAUUGAAUGAAAAAGGUUUAGCAUAGCAAUGUCUUGAGGGGAGAGCUUCCAAUACGUUACAACAUUUGAGGAAUUUUUUCCUUUUCCUUACCUUGAAGAAGCACGUUGGUUUAUAAAGGGGGCACACGCUGUUGUUACAACCUGCACCAAUGUGACGUUUUGCUUUGGUUGGUGCAUUGAUUUGAUUGAUUCAUUUGGCAAAGAGAAAAAGGCUGAAGGGUGCAGAGGUGGAACUGCUGACCAGUUGCAGCUUGCCCAUCGGAGGAAAUGGAGGCAAACCCUAAAAGGUUUGGGAGCUUGAUUUGAUGAAGGUUUUUACAUCUACACCCCUAUCCUUACUUAGUUGUUUUUUAUCCUCUUAAUAUUUGUGUAAUUAAUUAGCUGUUUCGUUUUUUUCAUUUUUAUUUUCUUUACUCUUUUAAAAUUUGUUUGGCUAUUAUAAUAAUUUUCUUGUGUUUUGUAUUUUAUUUUUAUUAAUUAUUUCGUUUAUAUUAAACUUUAAUUUUAUUUGUUAAUAAAAGCGGUGUAACAAACAUAAAAACUAAAAGAUAAAAAAAGAAAACGGCACAUAAAAAAAGUGGUGUCAGGUCUUCUUAAUAGUAACAUUUUCUUAAGCAUCUGUUUUCUAAAAAAAUAUAGGUUAAAACCCUCAUUUGGUCCUCAUAUUUGUAUGGCAAUCUCAAUUUGGUCAUCAUAUUUUUUUUUGUCUCAAUCGGGUCCUAAUAUUUGUAAAAACGAGUCAAUUAAGCCCUCUCCGUUAAAUAAUCAGUAACGUCGUCUGUUAGUGAUGAGUUGUAAUUUUUUUUAGCUGUCGUGUCAAUAUGUAUUAAAUUAGAUGGGGUUGGUUGUAUAAUGAAACAUUCCACGUGUCAAACAACUUUUUUAUCAUCUGAUCAGCUUUCAGAUUCCCACUCACAGCCACCUCCAAGAUCAGAUCAAACACCUUCUGAAAAUCAGUGUUCCAGCCCGCAUCCAUGUUCAUCACAAACUCCUUCUCCGACUUGAGAUCAUCCCCUUUAAUCAAAUGAAGUUGAAGAUCAGCACAAAAAGUCACAACCUUCCCCUUCCAAGGCUCCUCACACAACUUAGACACCAACAACCCCAAUGCCACACACACCUCCAUGGGCAACCCCUCCAUACUCCCAGACACAUCACAAACAGCCAAACAACUCUUCAUCGUCCCUUUCUUCUUCAAAUCAUCAACCGCCCUCUUCCACUGCAAUUCAACCACAUCCCCACAAUCCCCAUUAUCCAAUGACCUUAUGAUCUGAUGGGGAAGCAAAGCACCAGCAACAAUAGUACUUUUCCCUGACUUCACAUCCUCCAAGUAAGCCUCAAACCUCUCCUUAUCAUGCUUCAAAAACUUAUCAGUGAGGGAGGGAAUGUUAGCAGCGAGGGUUUUGGGGUGGUGGUGAUGGAGCCAGAUCGUCGUGCUGUAGAUGUUCCGGCAGUCGGACUUGCCGGUACCGUAGAUUCCACGGAGGUUGCAGACGAGUUUUAGGGCGGUGAGGGAGUUGUGGGCCACGCAAGUUGGGGUCUUUGAAGGAGGGUCGCUGGUGGAGUGUCGUCGUGAACCUUCUCAUCCAAGCCUACGCGCAGGCCAGGCUAACGGAGUCGCGUUCCACGUUUGCCGUUACGCGGAGGAGCACGAAGUCUCCGUUACUGUCGUCAGUUUUAACGCCUUGCUUGGGGAUUUGGAUUCGGCGUGGGCAUUGUUUGGGGAGAUGGUGAGAAAAGGCUUUUACAUUGUUUACACGUCCUUUGUUGCAGCGUUUUGUAGAGAAACCCCACAGUUGAGGAGGCUAUUGGUUUGGUUCGUGAAAUGGAAGGGAAGGGGCUGAGGCCAUACGGAUUUCUGCACAUUGGGUUUUUAAUUUCAAGGGUUUUCUACUUCCCUUCGUUUUUUUGAUUUAGGAUGCAAGCUUCCUUUCCCCUUUAUUUUUCUCUGAUUCUUUAUUGGGUUCUAUUUGGAUUUUCUGUUCCAGUAUUGUGGUCUUGAAAUUGGGAUUUAUGGGAUAUUCAUUGGAUUUUCUAUGCAGGUUUUUUAUCAUUGGAGUUGUAUUGGGAUUUUGAUUCUGUGUUCGUAUUUGUUAGCUUGAAUUCGUGAGUUUGCUUUUUUUGGAUUUAAUUUCGUGUCUGGAUCAUUAGAUUGUAGUUGGACUGUGGUGGUUGUUGUUGGUGGUGCCGGUGGAGCAGUGACAAGAGAGGACGUAGAGGGGGAGAGAGGAGAAGAACUCUGUUUACUACUAACAACAUAAGACGUUUGCCACGUGGAAUACUUCAUUAUACAACUAAUACCUAUCUAAAUUAAUAUAUAUUGCCACGACAGCUAAAACAAAUCACAACUCAUCACACGUAAACGGCGUUACUGAUUAUUUAACGGAGAGGGCUUAAUUGGCUCGUUUUUACAAAUAUUAGGACCCGAUUGAGACAAAAAAAAAUAUGAUGACCAAAUUGAGAUUGCCAUACAAAUAUGAGGACCAAAUGAGGGUUUUAACCAAAAAUAUAAGAUUAUAAAAUUAAAAAAAUAGUUUUUAUUAUUUCUUUGAUAGUUAACAUCUUUUUAAUAACAUGUUUUGUUUUUUAACUUAGUUUUAUUUAGAUUUCUCUUAUUUUAUUUUGAAAUACUUGUAAUUAUUAUAGCCAUGUAUUAUAAUUUAAGUAUUUUUAUUCUCAUAGAAUAAAAAUUACAAAAUUAAAAUAAUACAAAUACAUUUUAAAAUGUUAAAGCACACGUGCGACGGUUCGUGUAGGUCUUGUGUUAAAAACUUUUUUUUCUUUUUUUUCAUACAAAUAAUAAAAAUACAUUUUAAAAAGUUAAAGCAUACGUACGACCGUUCGCAUAGGCCUUGUGCUAAAACCUUUUUUCCCUUCUUUUACAAAAAUAUAAUAAAAAUAUCUUUUAAAAGGUUAAAGCACACGUGCGACCGUUCGCGUAGGGCUUGUGCUAAAAACCUUUUUCCUUUCUUUUACAAAAAAAAUUAUAAAAAUAUCUUUUAAAAGGUUAAAGCACAGGUGCGACCGUUCGUGUAAGGCUUGUGCUAAAAACCUUUUUCCCUUCUUUUAUAAAAAAAUAAUAAAAAUAUCUUUUAAAAGGUUAAAGCACACGUGUGACCGUUCGCGUAAGCCUUGUGCUAAAAACCUUUUUCCCUUCUUUUACAAAAAAUAUAAAAAAAUGUUUUAAAGGUUUAAGUGGGUGGGUGAUCGCUUGGAUCGUCCUCGUGCUAAGACCUUUUCUUCUUUUAUAAAAAAUAUCAAAAAAUGUUUUAAAGGUUUAGGCGCGUGUGUGAUCGCUCGCAUCAUCCUCGUGCUGAGAUCUUUUCUCUUUUAUAAGAAAAAAAAAUAAAAAAUGUUUUAAAGGUUUGAGCACGUGUGUGAUCGUUCGCAUCAUCCUCGUGCUAAAACCUUUUCCUCUUUAAAAACAAAAAGUUUUAAAGGUUUAAGCGCGUGUGUCAUCGUUCGCAUCGUCCUCGUGCUGAGACCUUUUCUUUUUCUCACAUAAAAAUAACAAAAACAUAAAACAUCCAUGAUUUCAAACAAACAAACAAUUUUUUAGCUAGAACUCCGUAACCCUGAUUUCUCAUAUUGAGAAUACGUAGGAGCAAGGUCAAUGCUUGUCGGGCACAAAAAAAAAAACAAAAAAAAUAUAUUUUGUUUCUUUAUAACGUCUUUUUUGGGGAUAGUUAAACCUUUUGAAAACCACAUCAAAAUCGCAUAUUUAAUUAAAGGUACUGCCUUCGGGCAGGCGUUGUAGGGUGCUAAUAGCUUCCCUACACGUAACCGACUCCCGAACCCAAUCUUUGGUUUUCGUCGACCGUGCUUUAUCAUUUUAUGGUUUUUCCGUAGUUUUCCAGAAUAAACUAUGGUGGCGACUCCAAAAUCUCUUUUCCAAACCCAAUUCUUUUUUGGAUCUUUGUUCCGUCGCGACACCGGUUGCGACAUAGAUAUAAGCUCAGUGAAUGUGCAUUCAUAUAUCAAGAUCAACACAAACAUGUUCAAUAAGAUAUCAUCCACAAUAAGGAAUAGAACAUAUAACACAAAACAAUACAUGUGUUAUUAAUAAUGUGUUGUCAUCAUAAAAAACCAGAGUGACUAAAGCACUGUGAGAUUAAGGUUAGCUAAACUAGUGCUUCCCUUAUCAACAAUCUCAAAAUAUCCCCCUUUUUUGAUGGUGCACAACCAUGAUUAACAAGCAACCGUGUUUGUACUCAAACAACUCAUAAACAUUUAAUUAAUCACUAGAAAUCAGAGCAAAUAUAAUCAAUCAGUAGAUACAAGUGAUUAAAUGAUCUUUUUAGUCUAUUAGAGCAUAUUCCAGUAAAUCAGAGCAAACAAAAGAUCAUUUCAGACAUAUUUCAACUCAAUUACUUUGAAUGAAAAAUAUCAAGCAAACGAUCACAUAUCAAGCAAAAUAAGUAGAUUAAUCUAGCUUUUCACACAUUUCUCUCCCUUUGUGCAUUAGCAAAAAAGGUUUGCUUUCAGAUAUGGAUAUAUUGAUAACAUGAAAUACAAGAGAUGCAUCAGAAUAAAGCAAUGUAAACAGAUUAAAUAUGCAAUGAUGCUCCCCCUAUCACAAAUAUUCACAUGAAUAUGUAAACUCCGCCUAGAAUAUAGGCAUGUGAAAAAUCUAUGCAAUCAAGUAAUGCUCCCCCUGUCAUUAUGCAUACAACAAAAUCAGAUUUAGAUGCACAAUGUAGUCACACAGAUAUCAGAGCAUAUAAUCAGUUCGUAUCAAGAUUGUAUCAGAGAUAUGAUUGUAAGCAAUUCAAUUAAGCAAAGAUACAACUAUCAACAAUCUCACAAUAUAAUCUCAUUGCAAAACAGUCAUAUAAGAACAAAGAUAUAUUGAAGAAAAUUGAUAUAAAAUGAUCAAGCAACUUAAUAAGCAAAUUCCAAAUAAUGGAAUUUAUAACCCCCUUUAAUUGAUAAGUCGAUUGAUCCAAUAACUAAGUCGAUUUCAUUGCUUUCCAGACAGAUAUGAUUCCAGCAGUAAGUUCCAAAGCAAUGUUUCCUGCAAAACCUUUCAAAGUCUUUUGAAGACCAAGCAUUUUAGAAUCAUAGUAAUGCAAGAAAUUUAACAGAUAAGAAGUGAGUAUGCAACACAGUUAAUGCAACAGUAAGUAUGUGCAUAGUCAACUUCAAUGAUCACUCAGUCGAUUCAAUAUUAAUCCAAAACAGAUUCAAUCAAGCAGUUUAAAACAAAUGAAUUUGAAUCAAAAAAAUUAAUUUCAUUUCUUGUUCAAAAGGGUAUUACAAUUGAUAGACCAAAACAAGAACAAGAUAUAAUGGCAACACUAAGCCAUUAACAAAAGAAAAAACAACACUAAGAACAAUCUAAGUAAGCAUAUAACAAAGACAGAAACAAAGGACUCAAGACCACAAAAUGAAGCGUAUUGUUAUUCCUUUCCUUCUCCAACUAAAUUCAUAAAUUCAUCCUCUGAUGUGUCUUUACUCUUCUUAAGUUGCGAAAUGAGAUUAACCUUUGUCUUAAGCUGAUCGAGCUUGUCAAUAAUUAAUUGAAAUGGAUUAGCAGAAAAAAAUCUCACAAUUGUUGUUGGAGACAUGAUUAGAUUCUAGUCCACAUUUAGUAGAGGUGCUUCCAAAACGACACAUUUGAUUUUCUUCAUCUUUAAAGCAUCAUCCUUUCUCAGUCCAAACUAGCCUAAAUGACACAAGGGUGUUAAGAUUUAUAACAUUUUUAUAGGUGCAAGAACGUUUUUAUUCUCCAUAGGUAUUCACCCCUUGAAGAACAAGUAUAUUGCUUAUGAGGACAACGUGAGGCAAGUAGUGAGGGUUGCUACGAGAAACUUUGGUUAUGUGAUCCUUUAACACUUCCACCCAGUUGGUGGGUAUAUUAUUCUUGAUAGCAUGCAGAAGAAACACAUCCUCGGUGGUAAUUUCAUCUUGCAUCUAUCUUCCCGGAAGAAUCACCCAUGUCAGCAUGUGUGCAAGGACCAUUUCUUCAAUUCUGAGAUCUUCAUGUAGAAAAAUGUUUUCUCUUGUUUGACUUACAGGAAGUCUGAGCCACCCUCUAUGGAGAUCCUUUUCGUUUAACCAAUGAUUUAUUUGAGUGUUGGGUAGACGAGUUCAGCCUUCAACCUAGUGGUCUGCUGCCAGACAUCAUUAUUGAUAAAAAUGUUAGUACCUUUAACUCUUGAGCAGAUGUCACCAUUAACAAUCUUUAAGUGAUGAUAGAACACUCUAACAAGAUUAGGGUACCAUUCACCAUUCAUUUGCACCAAAGUCGACAAAUUUUAAGUCUCAAUCCAUUCAGGAAAUUUAAAGUUUUCCCUUCCAAAUAAUCUCAAGUCAAGAUACCUUGGUGAGACAACAACUUUAGGACACCCAUCAAUAAAUCUCACUCGAGAGUCAUCAUCGCUUAUCCAGCCAUUCACAUUAGCUUCUCUAACAGUUGCGAUGCAGUUUGCUUUCCCUUUUCUUGAGAGAUGAGGUGAAGAGGCCAUUUCUAGAGACACUCAGGAUGCACAAAAUUCAGUCAAGGAUCAUUGGAAAUACACAAAUAGUAUGUGCGCUAGUGUCAGAAAUAAAGUACACCUCAGACAGGACGGACAAAUAUGGAGCAAGAGACCAAACCUAGAAAUGACCUAUUUUAAAUUUUUAAAUUUUGUAAGGCCCAAAGCAGAAUCAUUCAGCCUAUUUUGAUAAAAACUAAGUUGACUAUGUAUGACAUGAGAUUUCAAAAUAGGGUACAUACAUACAGAGACACAAAAUCGACUAGGCUCAUAAUUGAGUCGACUAAAAGUCGUGAAAAUUAUUUUUCAUGCAAAACAUUUAACUAAUCAGUCAUACAAUCAACAAACAAUCAAUUAUCAAACAAUCAAUCUAUUUAUGCACGAUGCAGUAAGCUAAUACAUGUUACUAGUUGCAGAUACUCAAGAUGUUUGAUAUAGCCAUUGUAGUUUGUCCUUGAGUCCUCACUGCACCUGUUUGAAAUUCCUACAAAAUAGUUUAAGUUUUUGUUGUGGGUACCCAUUUGAACUUAGGUCCUUGAUUGUUAGUUGAGGCCAGAUGUUCCUUAGGAAUCCACACAUAUAAACCUUUAGGAAAUCCAACUCUUCUGUAGUAACAGUUUCUAACAGUGUACCCAACACAAUUACAAUAAAAGCAAGCAUGUUUGAUAGGUUUGCUUAAAUAUGAAAGUUUUCUUGUAUUGGACCUAUUAGAAUUAGCUUUAAAACCAAUGCCUUGUCUAUUAAUAGCUUUGUCAGUAUAUUUCAAUACAACAUUCAAAUCUUCUCUACCCUGAGUAAAUUUGGCUAGCGUGCUAGUCAAGUAAUCUAUUUGUUUCAUAUGAGCAAGGCAUUUAUCACAUUGUUUUUUAUUGUAACAGUUUCAAUUUUAACUUCUUUAGCAGACAAUAAGGCUUCAUCUAAUUGUUUCUGUAAUUUUUCAUUAUCAGUGACAAGAUUAUUAAUUAUAUAUUCAUAAUCUUUCCUAUCAGAGUUAAGUCGAUUAAUCUUGUACUGGAGUCACAUAGCUUCAACAUGAAUUUCCUUGAAUGCAUCCAGCUGUAGGUCAUAUUUGACUUCAAUCGGUUCUUGCUCGAACUCUGUGUCACUGUCAUAGUCAGUCAAUGAUGCUCUAGCCAUAUAGCAGAUGUUUAACUCUUGAUCAUGACCUUCAUCACUUGAAGAGUCCGAAUCACUGUUUUCCCAAGCAAUAUAAGCUCCUUUUUGCUUCUUGCUUUUGUCUUGAGGAAACCUUCUGUUAAUCUUCUACUUUGGCUUCAGGUUUGGACAAUCUGGUUUGAUAUGUCCCUCUUUUCCACAUUCAUAGCAUUGGACAACACUUGACGUGUGAGCUUUCUUGACUUUGUUGUGACCUGUAUGGUUAGUAAGUUGACUGUUAUUUUUCAUAAGUCGAGUAAAUUUUCUUACCACCAUGGUCUUCAAUUCAUUGUUGUCCAUCUCUGCAUCUGAUUCUUCCUCUGACUUUGAGGCUUUCUUGUUUGUUGCUUUCAAUGCAAUGGACUUCUUCUCUUCAAUCUCUUCUUCGUCCUUCAACCUUCCAAGUUCUAACUAAUGUUCUCUUACUUGUCGAACAAGGUAGCCAUAUUCAUGCUUCUAAGAUCUUUGGACUCAAAGAUUGUUGUGACUUUGGGUUGCCAGCAUCUGUUCAGACUUUUCAAAAUCUUGAUAAUGAUCUCUUCCUUGUCAAAGACUUUGCCAAGAGGCAUAAGGUGAUUUACAAUGUGUGUGAACCUUUUUUGGACUUCAUAGAUUGUUUCACCAGCCUUUAUCCUAAAAAGUUCAUACUCUUGAAUCAAAGAAUUUUUCCUUGCUCUCUUGACUUCAUUAGUGCCUUCAUGAGUGACUUCCAAGACAUCCCGCAUCUCCUUGGUAGAUUUGCAUUGAGAUAUCCUAAAAAAUUCAUCAACAAUUAGUGUAGAGGCAAUGAUAUUUCAAGCUUAGACAUCAUAUUGUGCUCUCUUAUUCUCUUCUUGAGACAACUCAAAAAAAAUUUUCAAAACAGUUUUUCCAACAAUAAUAUGAGUAGGCUCAAAAGGACCAUUCAAAGUUGCAUCCCAAAUUCCUCUAUCCACGGAUUCAAGAAAGAUUUGCAUUCAAAUUUUUCAGAAAGGAUAAUUUUCACCAGCAAACAGAGGUGGUUGGUUUGUAAAUGCACCUUAACCAAAAGUUUGAAAACUGGAAGUCAUCCCCAGGUAUAUAGUCGAUUCAAGGAAAAACGAAGUCAACUAGUUUUUCAAAUAUUUUAUGAAAACCAGCUCUGGUGCCAAUUGUUGGAAAAAGGUUGGCUUCGUUUCAACACCAACAGGUAGGGUGAAUUGGUGAGGUUUCAAAAUCAGAUUCUUUUUUAAAUCUUUUUCUCAAAGUAAAAACCUUUACAAAGUUUCUUGAAUCACAAGGAAUGAAAAUUCUAAGUGCAGCAGAAAAAUAAAGUUGACUACGUAAACAAGUAAGUCGACAGAAUGUAAAAGUUUAAGGAUAGAGAAAUCAAACGUAGGUUUUUAUAUUGGUUCGACAUCAAUGCUUACAUCCAGUGUCCUUCCAUAAUCCAAAAGCAAAUACACUACAGUGGUUAAGGUUUUUACAACAAGGCUUUUAUAGAGACCUCCACGUAAAAAAUAUAAAAGACCUCUCUAACCCUCUAACCAAAAUAUAGGCAGUACACACAAAGAUCUGCAACAAGAUAUCCCCUCUUCUGCAAUCUUCAAACCCACUUUGAACAAUCCUCAAAGUGUACAAAAUCCAUGAGUCAACCUCCUAUAAUCACAACAGGAAAAACCAAUCUUUAGUAGAUUGAAGGCAGUCUUGAUCAACAAGAAUACACCAGCUGUGCAGAAUUUGAUCAAACAGUAAGCACAAUAUAGUCUCCUUCAAAGAACCUCCUCAAAGAUAAAUCAUCACGGUCUUCUUGAUGAGUUCUCUGAGCAAAUUUUCAGAGAUCACAAUCUGUAAAUCAAAAUAAGAGUGUUAAAAUUUCCAAAGUCUCAUGUGAUCAACUAAGGUACGUCUAUUUAUAGUUUUCUAUAAAUCAGUCAAUCUUGUAGUCGACUAAACUACUGAUCAAGUCGACUGUCCUCAAACAAUUAUAACAGUUAAGUCAAAUAGUAGCAGUCAACAAUAACCAAAUUGAUUUUGCAAUUAAUACAGUUGACUAUCAUAAAUGUUUUAACUAACUUUUGAAAUAUAGUUGUUACUGUACACAAGCAUAACUGAAUUUCAAAUCAAACAAUUAACUAAGUCGGAUCCACUGCACAUGUAGUCAACUUAGGCACAUCAGCUCAGUUUGAAAAACUUUUCAAUGCAAAAUCACUCACAACACUGCUUUUGAAAAUUUGUGCAUAGACACGAGUUUUAAAUUCGACUUAAAACUUGCAGUUAUGCCACACAAUGUAAGUUGUGCAUGUGGUUUUCUCUUUAUAACAUAUGUAAUGCAAUCAUAAAUGAUGUAUGAGAUAUAAGCUCAAUGAUUGUGCAUUCGUAUAUCAAUAUCAACACAAACAUGUUCAAUAAGAUAUCAUCCACAAUAAGGAAUAGAGCAUGUAACACAAAACAAUACAUGUGUUAUUAAUAAUGUGCUGUUAUCAUAAAAAACUGGGCGCCUAAGUGGCGCGCUGAACGCUCGCGACUGGCUUGGGCUGUGUUUUCUGUUUUUAUUUUGAUCUAUUUAAGGACUUGGACGUCCUAGGCAUUGUAUCUUUAAACAUAAGAGGCGUAGAAACAUAAUCUUUCACUCCUUGAAGGUGAAUUUGGAUGCAAAAGCCUCCGUCUUCAACUUUUAGGGUUUUUCUAUCUCAUUUUUUCCAUUAUUCAUCUAGUUUCUCCAUGAUAAUGGGGAACUAAAUUCCAUUUUUUAUUAGGGAAAAGAUGUAAUCCUUUGAAACUCUCAUGUAUUUGAAUUUAUUUAUAUUACAAAUGCUUCUUUCAUUAAUUGUUAGGGUUUUUCCUUUAUACUCCAUGCAUUGCUUUGUUUAACUCAUUCAUAGCAUGAUAAUUGAUUUCGUUGAUAUGGACACAUACGAGGCAAUCUAGAUCUGAGGAAUCUCUCCCAAAAGUAGUAUUACCUAGGGAUGGGGAUACGAGUUUUGGUUGGCUUAAGCUUCUGUGCAUAUGCAGAAUUGAUUGCUAGGGAGACAAGACAUUGUAAACUAGUAAUUAAGGAUAGGCUUUCUUCGCCGAGACAUCGGGUUUUAAGUAAAUUAGAAAGUGGCAUUAACAUUAAUGAAGAAGACGAAUUCUUAUAUGCAUGAGAGUGGAUAGGAGAAAUCUAAGCCAAAACAACAUAUUCAUUCCAUAUUUUAUAAACAAUCCACCUUCACAUUUUCUUGUCAAUUGAUCAAAAUUGCAUUCAUGUUUAAUUUUUGCAUUAUAAACCAAAUGAUUUUGUUCUCAAGUCUUAUUUAAUCAAGAAAUCAAAUAACUGUUUAGGCCGUGAGUCUCUAGGGAAAUAAUACUUGGUCUUACCAUUUAAUAUUACAUGAUACGAUUCGGUACACUUGUCGAUGUCUUAACAACCGUCAAGUUGGACACAACAAAAAUCAAUGUACCUUACCUUCUGACAUCACAAAACCAUCAUAGCCAUAAACUACUCAAUCCCAUGUACCAUCACAGCCACUAAGUACCAAAUCUCCUCUACCAUCAUAACCAUCAAUUACCUAAUCCUCUCUACCAUCACAACCACUGAUAAAUAUGGUCUUGAUGUCAUUCUAUAGAUUUGUAAGAUUUGAAUCACGGCGAUGGAACGAGGACGCUGGAAAUUAGUGAAUCAUCGACAGCGGAAGCUACUCCAGAGGUGUUCUCUGAUUCAGAUGCGCAAAAACAGAUCAACGGAGGUAGUUGAUAUCGGGCAGUGGAGGAAGGUGGAUGCAUGGUUAUUGGGAGUGGAGGUUGUGCUUAUGAAGUGGCUACAACUCAGGCAGCCUUCCAUACAAGGAAGGAAGUUGCAAAGAAGAAGAUAAGCAAGGAGGGGCUUUCGGUGAAGAGAAUCUGGUAAUUCAUUCCAGCAGAGUUUCUCCUAUAUCAACCAAAAGUGUCUACAAAAAGGUGCAAUGGUGGAUUUUAUAGAAAAUCCACUCGGUUGUGUGUGAUGCAGAUGGAUUCCGUGAUAACUGGAUCACCAUCCACGUGGCCUAGCAUGGAAAGCAUGACCUGUUCUUCUAGAAAAAUACAUGUGCCAAUCAUUUUAAAUGUGCUGAAAAUUAAAUGUACAUUGUCGUAGCUCAGCGUGAUGAAGGGUUUGUUGAGCGCUGCCAACUUUCCUUGUUCCCUUUCAUCCAUCCCUCUCCUUGAUCUGGUCUGACUCUUUUUGAUUCAGCUGAGUUGAUGUAAGGUCUCCACUCGAAGUGUGUAAAUAAUUCCUGUCCCUCUGUGCCAAGUUCCUCCAAUUCUUGUUGUAGUUUCCUGACCAUACUUUGAGUGAUAGGUCCAUGACUGAUCUUAAGCCCCAAGUCAUCAUCUCCUCCCCCUUGAAGAGGAUUUGUCCUCAAAUCCAAGUUGUCAUCUCCUGAAAAAGGAUGAAAGUCAGAGACAUUAAAAGUUGUAUGCACACCAUACUUAAGAGGAAGGUCUAACUGAUAAGCAUUAUUAUUAACCUUCCUAAGGAUCUUAAAAGGACCAUCUCCUCUAGGACUUAGUUUGGACUUCCUAAGGAUAGGAAAUCGUUCUUUUCGAAGGUUAAGCCAAACUAAGUCGCCUUCAUUGAAGAUCAUUUCCUUUUUACCCUUAUUGUUGUACUUAGCAUAUCUCUCACUUUGUUGUUGUAUUUGAUUACUAAUCCUCUUAUGGAAAUCUUUUAUAAACUUGGAUUUAGAUAUUCCCUCAUGAUGAACAAAGUCAUGUGAAGAAGGUACGGGAAUUAAAUCCAUAGAUGUUAAAGGAUUAAAACCAUAUACAGCCUCAAAAGGAGAGAUGUUAGUAGUUCUAUGAACUACUCUGUUGUAAGCAAACUCCACAUGUGGAAGAUACUCAUCCCAAGAUUUGUGGUUGCCUUUGAGAACUACUCUCAACAAAGUGGAUAGAGACUAUUUACUACUUCAGUUUGACCAUCUGCUUGUGGAUGGGAAGUAGUAGAAAAGGAAAGCUUAGUCCCUAAUCGAGACCAUAAGGUUCUCCAAAAGUGAUUAAGAAAUUUUGUAUCUCUAUCAGAAAUGAUGACUCGAGGUAGUCCAUGAAGUCUAACCACAUCUCUAAAGAAUAGCCUAGCCACAUUACUUGCAUCAUCUAUCUUGUGGCAUGGUAUAAAAUGGGCCAUUUUGAUGAAACGAUCCACUACCACAAAGAUAGAGUCGAAACCCUUAGAAGUUUUUGGUAGUCCUAAGACAAAAUCCAUGCUAAUAUCUUCCCUAGGAGUUGAAGCAAUGGGUAAAGGAGUAUAAAGACCAUGAGUCAUUGUUCUAGAUUUUGACUCUAAACAAGUAAUGCACUUGUAACAAUGCCUUUGGACAUAUCGUCUUAUGUGGGGCCAAAAGAAUUUUUCUUUUAGCAUGCUUAGGGUUUUAUCUACCCCAAAGUGUCGCAUCAAACCUCCCUCAUGCAUCUCUUUGACAAGGAGUUUUCUUUGUGAGCCUUGGGGUUUGAAAAGAUGGACCCCAUGUUUAUUCACUACAAAUCUAAAAAAAUGACACUAUCAACAAAAAGGUGCAUUUAUCAAGAUUUGCAAACAAGUGAUUAGUUCUAAGACUUGUUAAAACAACUCUUAAAUAUUUUUCAUGAUUUUGCAAAUCUUGACUAUAUACCAAUAUGUCAUCAAAAUAAACAACUACAAACUUCCCAAUGCAAUCCCUCAAGACAUGGUUCAUAAGUCUCAUGAAUGUACUUGGAGCAUUUGUAAGACCAAAAGGCAUCACUAGCCACUCAUAUAACCCAAACUUAGUCUUAAAAGCAGUUUUCCAUUCAUCACCCUCUUUGAUCCUAAUUUGGUGAUAUCCGCUUUUAAGAUCUAUUUUUGAGAAAAUUUGAGCCCCAUGUAAUUCAUCCAACAUAUAAUCAAGUCUAGGGAUGAGAUGUCUAUACUUUAUUGUGAUGUUGUUGAUAGCCCUACAAUCACAACACAUUCGCCAUUUGCCAUCUUUUUUAGGCACCAGCAACACAGGCACAGCACAUGGGCUUAAGCUCUUUUGAACCUAACCCUUAUCUAACAAGUCUUGGACUUGUGACUCAAUCUCUUUAGUCUCUUGGGGAUUAGUCCUAUAGGCAGGCCUAUUAGGAAGAGUUGCCCCUGGGACAAAGUCAAUUUGAUGUUCUAUUCCCCUUAAUGGUGGAAGUUCAAUUAGAAUCUCUUUGAGAAAUAGAUCACCAAAUUCUUUCAGAAGAUUUUGUAUUGAAAGAGAAAGAGUGGAAGUUUUAGACUCACUAGAUGUGCAUGUGAGUGUUCCUUGACAAAGAAGGAGGUAUGAAGGUUGCUCAACUUGAAGAGUAUUUUCUAAAGUCUUUUUAUUUAAAAGAACUUCAGGUUGAGUACCUUGGUGGGAGAGAACACCACUCUCCCACACCUCUUUUUCAUCCCUAAGGACUACUAUUUUCUCUCUUUUUUUUUUCUUUUUCUUGUUCUCUAUUAAACUUCAUUUGUGCUUGAGCUUUCGCCACCUAGGCAGGUGUCAAAGGAUGAAGCACAAAUUUCUUGUCUCCUUUGUGCACAGUUAUGGUAUUGGUAAGACCAUGGUGUAUAGUGUCAUGAUCAAAUUGCCAUGGUCUUCCCAAUAACAUAUGACAAGCUUUCGUGGGAACUAUAUCGCAAACAACUUCAUCUUUAAAGUUCCCUAUGGAAAUUGCCAAUUUGGUUUGAUUCUUGACAGUUAUAUCCCCAUCUUCAUUUAGCCAAUGAAGUUUGUAAGGUUUUGGAUGAGGUAUUACUCCAAGAUUCAAUUUUUCAACUAGCAUUGUGCUACAACAAUUGCAGCAAGAACCACUAUCAAUAAUGAGAGAACAAUAUUUGUCUUGAAAUUUACAUCUUGUGUGAAAGAUGUCCUCUCUUGGUGAUAAGUGUUCUAUGCUAGGUUGACUAUUAAACACCCUUCUCAUCAUGAGAAGUUGACAAUCAUCAGCAAAUACUUCCUCUUCUUUUUCUUGCUCACUCUCACUCUCACUGGUGGGUGAUUCACUUUCACUGCUAUAGAUGUCACUACCUUUAAGAAUGAUGGUUCUUUUGGUAGGACAUUGGGUAGCUACAUGACCCCUACCCAAACAUUUAAAAAAUUUGAUAUCACUUGUGCGAGUGUGUGAAGAGGAUUCUUGCUUGGGAUUUUCAUUGAUUUUGGCUAGAGGUUUAAAAGGCUCUUUUUCUUUGAAAGUUUUCUUUUCGAAGGUAGGGUGAACUUGAACUCUUUUUGAAGAAGACUUUCUCAAGUUUUGUUGUUCUACCUUUAUACACAUUUGAACAAGAUCAUUCAAAUUUCUAUAAGGUAGUAGUUCGACCCUAUCUCGAAUAUCCAAAUUAAGCCCACUUAAAAAUCUAGCCAAAGUAAUUUCUGAAGCCUCUACUAUCCCUGCCCUCAUCAUCUAAACCUCCAUCUUUUGUCUAUAUUCUUCAACAGUCAUUGACUUUUGUUGUAAUCUUUGGAGCUUAUCCAUGAGUUCUCUAUUGUAAUAAGAGGGAAUGUGUCUCCUCCUAAGGGCAGUUUUGAGAUCAUUCCAAUAAUGAAUUGGAGGAUCUUAAUGCCUUAGUCUCUCUUGGAUUAGAGCAGUCCACCAAUACAUUGCAUACCCUUGAAAGCUUAGGGUAGCUAGAGAGACUUUCCUUUCCUCACUCACUUGGUGGCAAGCAAACAAUUGCUCCACCUUCAUCUCCCAAUCAAGAUAGGCCUCAACAUUAUCCUUACCAUGGAAAUGAGGCAACGUAACAUUGACUUCCUUAGGGGGUGGAGGAAUUUGGGUAUCCCGCCUAUCUCUUCUUGAAGAAGAGUGUUGGUGGUAAUAUUCUCUCACACUUAGGGGAAUUCCUCCCAUUUGAGAAUGGUCACUUUGACUUCCCCUACACCUAUCUCGACUUUGGUUAUUCUCCUCUCUCAUCAACCUCAACUGAUCUUGUAUCAUAGCAUUUUGAAGCUCUCUAUUGACUUUUUCUUGACUCAUUUUUCUUUCAAUUUCAUUGAGUUGGUUGACUAGAGUUUGGAGGGUCAAUUUCUCUUUUUGAUUUUCACUAUCACUAAUCCUAGGUGAGUGCCUUCUUGACAUUAUGAUGAACUUAAAGGUUUUCUUGAAAUACAGACUAAAGAUUUCACUUGCAAGCAAUAUUUCAAGUAAGAGAGGUAAACCGAAAAAGGUUGCUUAAGUACGAAGUCUUACCUUGCCAAAUAGGCUUCUAGCUACUUACUAGAAUCUUUAAAUAAAAAUCACUUUUAACUCCACCAAAAGUUUAAAGACAACAAGCAAGCGAAGAAAUAAAAACCUACACUUUAAGACGGACUUCUAAGGUCUCCUAAGCGCUUUUGCAAGAAAGUAAAAGAGUGAGAUCUUCUGGUGAGGCUUGGAACUUUGGAACCAAGACACACUCACCGUCUACCAAUUUUAGUUGUGCAAUAAAAGUCAAGUUUGCAAGUGAUGGAAGAACACUUGAAAUUCUUCCAACUCACUUGGUUAAUGGCCACUUACAAAGUCUUUUUACAAUUCAAAUGAAACAAAAAUACAAGUAAAUGGGUGUAGAUGUUGUGUGCAGCUUUGGCUUCUCACAAGGAAAGGUGAAUUUAACAUUUUCACACUAAUCUCUCAGCUGCAAAGUGAGGACCCUACUGCUGCACGAAAAUUCAACACCAGAAUUUUGCAGCUGCUACCGAGAAUUCUCUGCACGAAAGCCACACUUCAUGACUUGAUUCCUCGGUCUCUUGCCUUCCUUUGAUGCUUCCUUGUAUGUACGAAGUCUGAGCUAUAAUUGUUAAAUCCCUAGCAAGUGUACCAGAUCGUUAUCAAGUAAUAUAAAACGGGUAAGUCCGAGUAUCAUUUCCCAAAUGACUCUUAGGCCUUAACUUUCAUGUAAACCAAUCACAUAAGACUUGAGAAAAGAAUUAAAUUUAGGUUUUGUAUGCAAGACGAAAAUAAACAUGCAAAAUGCAGUGAAUAAAUUGGCUAGAAAAGACUAUGGAUGAAUGGAGUUGUUUGAAAUCCUACACUACUAGGCCCAUAAUACCAAGCCCAAAUAAAUUUAGACUACUUGGCCCAAAAUACAAAGCCCAAAUAAAAUCUAGACUUCUUGGCCCAAAAUACAAGGCCCAAAAUUAUUCUUACUCUACUAAAUCUUCAUGAUGACUUAAGAUGGCCCAAGAGAAAGAGUCUAGGCCCAUCUUCCAUAGAUGUCUCCAACUCUUCAUGAAUGUGCUAAGUCAUGGCAAGGGGUAUUCCAUCAUGCCCUCCCUCUUGAAAAAGGAUUUGCCCUCAAAUCUUCUUGUUCUUUUAUGACAAAAACCUUUUUCUUAUUAUUGGUCAAUUUGUGUAUCUUUCCACCAGGAUCAAAGAUCCAUAUGCAAGUGUCAUCAAACUCAAAACCAAUAAUCUUAUGAGCCACAAACAACAUGUAUCUAGAUGAAUGAUUUAAAUAAGACCUUAUGCUNNNNNNNNNNNNNNNNNNNNNNNNNNNNNNNNNNNNNNNNNNNNNNNNNNNNNNNNNNNNNNNNNNNNNNNNNNNNNNNNNNNNNNNNNNNNNNNNNNNNNNNNNNNNNNNNNNNNNNNNNNNNNNNNNNNNNNNNNNNNNNNNNNNNNNNNNNNNNNNNNNNNNNNNNNNNNNNNNNNNNNNNNNNNNNNNNNNGUAACAUCAACUCAAAGUUUGAUUUGGAAAAAUUUGAGGAGUUAAAAAUAGUGGGAGGUGAAAAAGAAGUUGAAAUUUCAAAAGUAAAAAAUGGAGCUAUGAAAGAUGGUUGGAUGUAUUGAGAAAAGUUCAAGUAUUGGAAAACUCCCCUCAUCAUCUUAGUCUUAACCUUAAUUGUGGAAGUGCUAGGGUGCUUUAGUAACUCUUCCUCUUCUUCUUUUAUCUCAAUCUCUUCUUUUUCUCUCUUUUCUUUCUCAUUCCUUUCUUUUAUCUUUCUCUCUUCAUACUUUCUUCUUCUUUCCUCCUCCUUUUUCUCUCUUCUUACUUCUCCUUUUUCUCUCUUCGUUCUUUCUUCCUUCUUUUGUCUUCCUCUCUUCUUCUCUUUAUUUUCCUUAAAUCCUUUUGGACUUUUUCUUGUUUUUCAUUAAGAAUAAUAAGCUCUUCUUCCAACUUAGCAAGAUACUCUUCUCUUUCAAUUCUUUCUUUUUCUUUAAGAAGAGUUUCUUGCCUUUGCCAAAUUUUAAGUGACUUUAGCUCUUUUGCUAAAUUUUUCAAAGUGGGUUUUACGUUGUCACUAGAGUCACUUCCAAUUUCAAAGGAAUUAGUCUUAGACAUCCUUAAAGGUUUUCAAAAAUAUGCAAUGCAACAAACAAAUACUUAAAUUUCAAAGAAAGUUCCUUAAGAGAUUUAAGGAGGGAAAAGACACCCAAGUUCACUUCUAGGAAAGGGAGAUGAAUCACAAUGGAUUUCUUAAAUACCAAACCUUUCCCAGCCAAAGCUUACCUUAGACACUCUUGAACCAAAUUUCUCAAAGGGAACUAAAUUUGAAAUUAAAGUUGACACACACUAAACUAUCACAAUUAAAGAAAGCAAAUAAACUAGCAACGCGACCUAAUGAUUAAGUUAGAAGAACUUUGGUUCCUCCGACCAACCAACUAAAAACGAAAAUUACUAAUAAAUAAAGGUUCUUGUUAGGAGAUGGGAUUGAGCACCAAAGACUCCCCCAAGACACCUAACAAGGCCGUGAAUUACAAGAGAGAAAAAAAAAAAAGAAAGAUUACAAAGCCAAAAAAAGAACAAAAAUUUACAACCAAAUCAAAGCUUCCUCCCAAAAGUGUUUCUCUCCUUUCUUUUGGCUACCACUCUAGACUUCAAGCUCCCUUUGGGUCUCCACCACCUAGAAGGCUACCUCUAAGAUAUUGGAUCACCUCACAAAGAGAACCUACACCACACAAAGUAACCAAAGCCGAAAUUGUGCAAGAAGAAACAAGGGAUAAAAGCAAUAAAAAGGUCCAAAAACAAGAAAGGCUUUGCAAAAGGAAUUUAAUUAUGACAAAACUAAGAAAUCCAAGAGACAAGCAAGAAAUUAAAGGUUAAGAAACAAAGGUUAGCACUCAAAAGAAAUCCUAACGAAAGGUUCUAGAGUAGAUUCACAAAACAAAAACUACUAGAAGAAAAGUGGGUGGUUCUUGUCUUUUGGCAACUUUGAGCAAAUGGGGCACUAAGGCCACUCUUUUAGCAUCAUAGCCAAGACUUUUAGCCACUGGAAAGUGAAGAUAAAUACCCAAAACAGUGAGCAAAACACGUUCCAAAACAGAUUGCACAAAAACAAUGGUAGUGGUCUAAGCACACAAUAUGUUUUUUCAGCACUUUUUAGGCUCUCUUUUGGUACUCUUUUGAGGCCUUUUGCUUAAAAGUUUUUAGCACUUCUUUUUCCACUCUUUUAAGGUGCAAAAUAAGACCAUCACACAUUUGGAACAGAGGUGAUUUAUGGGUUUUAAAAGUCACAAAGACAAGAAACACAAAAUAGAAAAGAAUCCUACUAUAAUCAAAAAUGGAGUUGAAAACUAGAAACAUCAAUAGGGAAUUUUUUUUUUUAAGAGCUUGCCAAUGAUCUAAUGGCAAGUAUGAACCCAAAACAUCAAAUAUAAGACCCUCAAAUAGUUGUAUAUGGUGCAAUUUUUCAAACUAUGUUAUAUAUUUUUUUUGAUGAUUUUUCAAAGUUACCUGAGAAAAUUGACAAGAAAAGAACUACACAUGACUCUAGACAAACAUGGAUGGAUUAAAAAAUUAAAAUGACUCAAUCAAUGAAAUGCACCAAAUAUAAAUCAAUAAAAGACCCAAAAAAACAGUAAGGAAUGACUCAAAAAAAAGAAAAGGCACAAAACAGUAGCCAAACUAACAAAACAUAACAUGGAAAACGCUAAUGACAGCAUUCUGGCAGCAUUGACCUUUGCUGAGUGUUUUACUAGUAACUUUCUCUACAGAAGUCCAAAUGAAUUGAGAUUUUUUGUGUGUGAAACUAGACUCAAAGGGCUUUCAUUUGAGUAUUUUUACGAAUUUUUUGGACAACUGGGCUAGAUGCAGUUUAAGUUUCAAAAUCGUCCUAUUUUACUUCCAGAAAAACAAAAUGAUGGAAAAAGAAAACACAACAAGACAAGUAAGGAAAACAAUAAACAACAAGAAAAUAACAAAGGAUCAAAACCAAGAAACUUAGCUCUUUGAAGAACCAAGGCUCUUGAUACCAAAUGAUGGAAAAUGCUCUAGCUAGGACAAGGCAAAUCUAGAAGCAAAUCAAGCCAUAAGUUCAUGAACGAAGAUUGCGGAAUUUGGUCACUAGUGCAGAAUUGGCUUUUAACGUCACCCCUUAGACGUCAAUUAAGCGGGAAUCCGACGUAAAUUAAUGACCGGUGGCACUUUCGUAAAUAAGUUGUCAAUAUAGACAUCAGUUAAGAGGGUCCCGACGUCUAUAAUAUGAUAGACAUCGGCUCCCCCGAAAAGACGUCAAAACUAAACGAAAAAGUUAAUAAAAAAUAAUUUUUUAUUCUAUUUAGACGUCUGUUAUGGGGGGAACUGACUUCUAAAGCACUUUAGAUGUCUGUUAUUGUGGGAACCGACGUCUAAACCCUAAACUCAAAAAUUUAAAAAGUCAUUUUUUGGCUCCAUAGAGACGUCUGAUCCCGCCAAUCCGACUUCUAAAGCACUUUAGACGUCUGUUAUUGGGGGAACCGACCUCUAAACCCUAAAUCCAAAAAUUUAUAAAGACACUUUUUGGCUCCAUAUAGAUGUCUGAUCCCGCCAAUCCGACUUCUAAAGCACUUUAGACGUCUGUUAUAGGGGGAACCGACGUCUAAACCCUAAACCCAGAAAUUUGAAAAGUCACUUUUUGACUUCAUUUAGACGUCUGUUAUGGGUGGAAACCGACUUCUAAAGCCCUUUAGACGUCUGUUAUAGGGGAACCGACUUCUAAAUUUCGGCAUUAAAACAUCGUGAUCGCGAGGCAGUCGUUACGCGCACUCAUUGUUCAUCAUCUUCGUCGCGUUUUCUCUCUAUGGGUUACACUUUUCAGGUUCGUUUUCUCACUUUUGCUCCGUUUUAAAUUAGUUUUACUCUGAUUACAUAACUCUUUGAUGCAUUAUCUUUCAUUUGAACCGAUUAAAAUGCGUUUUUGUUGGGUUUUGAUGCAGUUAUUCGUCGCAUUUUCUCUCUACGGGUUACGCUGUUUAGGUUCGUUUUCUCACUUUUGCACCGUUUUAAAUUAGUUUUACUCCGAUUACAUCACUCUUUUAUGCAUUAUCUUUCAUUUGAACUGAUUAAAAUGCGUUUUCGUUGGGUUUUGGUGCAGUUAUUCUCGUGUGCUUGGGCAGCGUUCUUUGGCGGCGAUUUCUUGCGUCUUGCACUCUACAAUUCCCUCUACUAGGUUUUUAAAACCAUCCAAUAAAAAAAAUAUACAAUACAUUCUCUUCAACUAAAAUAAAAUUAUAAACUCGAAUUAUCAUUAGUCAGGAGCAACCUGAAAGACGUCUGACUUGUAUGGAUCGGACGUCUAUAUAGACGUCUGACCUAUAUAGGUCUGACGUCUAUAUAGACGUCUGUCAUUACCUAACUGAUACAAAGUAACAUCACUGGAAUAGACGUCGGAUACGAAACUGACGUUAAAAACUCAAAUUAACCGAUGUUAAACAGCGUUUUUGCACUAGUGGGUGGUGGUGAAAGGUGUUGAUAGCUCAUGGUUUUGAUGAGUUGUAUGCUGAUGGAAGGUGUGUUUAAAGGUUCCCUAAGAGAGGUUGGGCCAACUCUUGGAGGAAGGUGGCUAGAGGAGGCCACUUGGGUUGCUCUAGGCUAGGGUGACCUUAAAAGAGUAGUAUGGCACAAAAAUGACAGCAUAACUUUACUCUAAAUCAAAGGUGAUUACAUGAUAGAGAACACCUCUAUUUAUAGGCUAAGGUGUCUCAAAAAUGGGCUAAAACUUUAACCUAAAAGAGCCACCUUGGCUGUCUUGGAGAGCAAGGAGAAAUCCUCUCUAAUAGGAGGGAGACAAGUGGCAAAAAUCCUCUCAAAUGAGAGAGUGACAUGUGGCCACUACCUAUGGAAAAACNCUCCAUUCCUAAAGUGACACAUGGCCACUAACUAGGAGGAAAACUCUCCAAUGGGAAGCUUCCACAUGUGUAGGAUGAAAUUAUCCUCCCUUGUUCUCCAAGCUUAGCCAAAAUGUUGACCCUUUGGUCAACAUAUCCAUUUUGGAGGUCCAAGCAUAGUCAACUUUGGGCCUUGACCCUUUGUUGACUUGUUUGGUCAAAAUCCUAUUCUACUUGGCCCAAAAUACAAGGCCCAAUUGAAAUCCUACACUACUAGGCCCAUAAUACCAAGCCCAAAUAAAUCUAGACUAGUUGGCCCAAAAUACAAAGCCCAAAUAAAAUCUGGACUACUUAGCCCAAAAUACAAGGCCCAAAAUUAUUCUUACUCUACUAAAUCUUCAUGAUGACUUAAGAUGGCCCAAGAGAAAGAGUCCAGGCCCAUCUUCCAUAGAUGUCUCCAACUCUUCAUGAAUGUGCUAGGUCAUUGCAAGGGGUAUUCCAUCAAUAUAUCAGUGAAAACUCUGGAGCUCAAUACCUCACACAACAUGCUUUCUCACACAUCAUUCAUACAUUCUGCUUAGCAUCAUAAUCACAAUCAUAAAUCACCACACAUUUGUUCACAUAGUUAGUGAACCAUUCACCUAGAUAUCAACAUGCACACAGUCUCAAUCAUCAACCACAUUUAAUCAUCAUCAAAUAACUCAUCAUGCAAUAUAAUCAUCAAACCAUCAUCAUAACCAGUGUACAAGCCAGACAUAGACACAAAAAUAAAAUUCAACCUAUUCUACAAAUCCAAAGUACAAAAGGAAAAGAAAAAGAAAACCCCUGUCCAAGUGCUGGCAUCCAUCAGUAGAUGCCUUAUCAGUCCAUGUCCUCAUCUGAGUUGUACUCAUCACCCUCUUGUGCAUCCUUAAAAUCAUCAUCCUCCUGGUCAUCCUCAUCUCUACCUGGUGCUCCAGCUGCUCCAGACCCGUUGCCCUGUUCCUACUCCUGAGGCCAAGCCAUCGUACUAUAGAACUCAUCCAUAGUCCACCUGUGCACUGGUGGCGUGUCAUACAAUCCUAUAAUCCUCUCUGCAGUAGCUACCUGCCCUCUGCGUAGAGACUCCAUACUAUUCUCCAUGAUGGACAUAUACAUGUCCAUCAUCUGGAAAGGCUCAGCGUGUUGUGCUGGUGCAUUUGCAGGUGCAUCCUCCUGCUGAAUUGUUGCUCUCCUAGGACGUCUCCUAGGAACUGCUCCGGCUGGCUCGUCACCUCCACAAAACUGACAAUAAUAGGAGGCAUCAAUAGCCCUCCUCGACCUCUCAUAAGGUGGAACUGCAGUAUCCAUCCCUGCCUGCUGGCACAGGUAUGUAAUCAGGGACGGAUGUCCCAACGGUGUCCUACUAUUAACAGUAGUAGCGCAUCUUUGAAUCUCGUUGGCAAUAAUCUCACCAACGUUAACAUCCAUCUGCAUCAACAUGCAGUAGAUGAAGAGAAUCUGGUGCAUAGUGAUGUCAGAGACAUGGGAGCAUGGUUGUAUGUUGGCAUGAGUGAAUGUCAUCCAAUACUUUGCUAGGGGAGUCAAAUCUACCCUAAUGAAGUUGACUGGCGCUCCAUUAGGGUUGCUCUGAAAGUGUCUCCCAGGGAUGCACAUCACCUUCUCGAUGUCCUCAUAAUCCCUGUAUUCCCCUGUAAGAGCAGCAUACCUACACUGCUCUCCUGGCCAUUUAGUACCUAGAAAGCUGUUGAUGGUGUCGGGGUCGUAUCUCAUGAUCUGCCCCCUCACGUAGCUCAUGUACCUCCCUGCUGAUACUCCUCUUCUGGGAAAGGCGUUAGCAUAAAAUUCCUUCACCAGCUCAAUGCUAGCUGGUGCAGGAUAGGUGGUCAAUCUCUCCCAGCCUCGCCUUUCUAUCUCUAGUCCAAACUCUGGAGUUAAAUAUGGAAUGUACAUGGCCUUCCUCUCCAUCAAUAAACGCCUCUCUUGUAUAGUCACGUAAUGCUCUUCAUGCUUCUUAGAAAGGAACCGAGAAGAAUAAAAUCUUCUUGGCCUUUCUAGCUCCUUUCUCUUGUUGCCAAUGGUCUUCACUCUUCUUGAGGAUGACAUUCCUGUAUCAAAUAAAUCCAAUAACAUCAUAGAAAUUCGUCACUAGAGGUUAGUAAAUCAUCAAUUACAUUUCCAGAACAACCACAAUCCAGUACUGAGGGAAAAACAGGGCCUCUCAGCGUCCAAGCAUCUCAAUCUGAUGAAUUCUGCUCAGCGGUUCAAACAGUCCGCUCAGCGGUUUUCAACUGGGUUUUUCAAAAACUCACUAUCAACAGUCAUAAUCUCCACUCUAACACUAAAUCCAUAAUUCCAUACCAAAUUUAUGCAAUUCAAUUGGUUCAAACAGUUUCUAUUUCAUCAAAUCAUGCAUAGAAAACAAAAGCCCUAAUUUAUCAUGUUCCUAAGAAUGUUCUUCAUCCAUUUUCAAAUAGAAACCCUAAGAAUGAAAUUGCACAACUUACUUGAGUGGAGAUUUAAGAUGCUUGCUAGACUUCCUUCUAAUUGAUGAUGAAUGCUCUCUCCAAUGCACAACCCUCAACCAAAAAACCCCAAACUUUAACAAGAUAAUGGUAGAAAAUUGAGAUUUUUGUGAGUGGGUGAUGGAAAAAGUGAGGAAAUAUCUUUAAAAAGCUCUUGAAAGUUAAAGAGAAGUAUUAGGGCUUAAGGAGACCGCUUGGGCGAACUACAAAGAAGAGGUUUUAAAGUGCAAAACCUAAAAAUUUCUCAGUUUUUAACAAAACCCGAGCUGGUAUACGCCGCUACCGCUCAGCAGUUUGGUGAUAAUUUUCUUCCUCUCUUCUUUGCUUGCUUUUGAGCAAUCUCACCCUGUAAUACUUAAUUUCAAUCUUCAUUUUUUCAAUCACAUGUCUUUCCCCUCUCAAAUGCAACAUUCAAACAUGCAAUACAUUUAACACAGAAUUAAAAACAGAAAUAAUCAAUUGGGUUGCCUCCCAGGUAACGCUUGUUUAACGUCACGAGCUUGACCCAAACCUGUCUAGCACUCAUCAGUAAGUGCCUCCUUACCAACACCCAUCAGUAGGUGUACCUUCCUAGUAUCCUUCAGUGGAUACCUAAAUCUUUAGCAUCCCUCAGUAGAUGUUACCCAAAAAUGUUUAAAAAUCCAAAGAGUUACAUGCCCAAAAUAAACCUAAAACUACAAAUGUUUUACAGAAAUUGGGAUUUAAUAAGAUAACAUCAUGUCUUCCCAUCCUGGCUGGGAUUUUUAUCUACCCAACUCAUCAGUUUCUUUUGUUCACUCUUCUUAUGGCUUUGGUGUAAGGUCUUCUAAUCUCCAUUACUUCAUCUUCUUUAAUCUUGUUCACAAUCCACUUUCUAUUCUUGAAUCUUACCUGUGAACCACGUGGAAGUGAUGUAUCUUCUGAGUGGAUUGUUCCUCCUUUAUCAACCUCUUCAUCUUUAGGUACCUGUAAAACAUUACAACUGUCAGUAUCAGUACCUGUUGUGCUAUCUUCAGAUGCAACAUCUCUUCUUGUCUUUUUAUGUCUGGCUCUCUUUCUAACUCUAACAUUAUUCUCUUUAGAACCAAUAUAUAAUAGCACAUGUUCAUGGUCCCUCAUCAUGAUUCUUCCAUCAUGGACACUAAUAAACAUCUUUGAAGUUUCCAUGAAAGGUCUUCCAAGAAUCAUUGGAAUCCUUUCAUCACUUUCCAUGCCCAUAACUAUGAAAUCAACCGAGAAAUCUAGCUGCUCCACACGCACAGUCACAUUCUCCACCAUACCAAGUGGAUCUUUUGUAGAGCCAUAAGCCACCGUCAUAGUAAGAUUAGACGGUUUUAAUACUAGCCCUCCAAUUUUCUUCAAGAAACGCUUAGGCAUCAUAUUAAUGCUAGAUCCAAAAUCUAUCAUGGCUCCUCCUACAUUAACACCAUUCACAACGCAUGAAAGAGUCAAACAACCUGGAUAUUUUACCUUAGGCGUAUAAUUCUUCUUUUGAGGUUGAAUAUCAAAUUCCUGCUCCUCUUCAUCAAGAUCUAUUAUAUCUCCAAAAUAAAAUUUUAUUCUUUCAGAAUAUGCAAGAAUCUCUUGGAUCACUGAAGGCACUACAGUCACCUGGUUAAAAAUUUCUCUAGACUGCCCAUUGUGACCGUCUCUUACUUCCUCUUCUUCCUCACCUUCAUUAUUGUCUAGCUCAAUAAUUUCUUUUUCCUCUUCUUCAUCUUCACUACUCCCAAUUUCCACAACUUCCUUGUCCACUUUCCUUUUGCUCCUAGUAACAACAGCUUUGCACUCCUCUUUAGGGUUAACAUUAGUAUUAGUCCUAAAUUGGUUCUUCUCAGUGGUUUCUACCCUCUUUGAUAGCUGACCAAUUUGCAUCUCCAAGGAUCUAAAACUGGCUUGGUCACUUGCAUGAUUAGACUCAUAAACCUUCAAGAAUUUGUCAAAUCUAUUAUUUAGGUCUCUAACAGUCUCUGACAGUCUCUAUCAAGUGAUUAACCUGCUCCCACAAAGGCAAUGGUUGUUGCGGUCGGAAGCCUCCUGAUUGUCCAGAUGAGUUAUUCUGGGGUUGUCCAAUACUAGGAUGGCUCUUCCAACCUUGGCUAGAGUUGCCUUGGUUGAAGUUCCCCUGCCUAUACUGAAACUGAUUCCCCAUAUAGUUUGCUUCCUGCUACAUCUCCUCUGGUAUAGCACAUUGACCAUUGAUAUGGUCACCACUACAGAAAUCACAAAGUUGUUGCUCUUGGGAGAUAUUAUGAAUCUCCUUAGGAAGUUGUGAUAAGAUUUUCGUCAAGUUAUCUAGCUUUUGAGUCAGAGGAUGAUUCUGAGCUAAUAUAGCAUCAUCUGCAAGCAAGUGCAAGACUCCCCUCUUCUAAACAUGUGCGCCCCUUUCACUGUAAGUUUCCUGCUCACUAGUAGUCAUACUCUCAAUCAAGUCAUAGGCUUCAUCCUUAGUCUUCUUCUUGAUAUCACCUCCAGUUGAGGCGUCCAACAUCAUCUUAGAUUGCGUGUUCAGACCUCCUAGGUAAGCAAGAUAUAUAAUAGUCUUGUCAAAACCGUGAAUUGGUGUCUUCCUCAAUAAGCCCUUGAAUCUUUCCCAGGCUUGACCAAGAGUCUCCUUCAUGCCCUGUUUGAAUGAUGAUAUCUCCAGCCUUCCCUGAGUAACUUUAAACUGUGGAAAAUAUUUAUUGACAAACUUAGUUGCCACAGUCUCCUAUGUAGUGAAUGUUCCUUCAGGAAAAGAAUUCAACCAUGUCUUAGCACUGCCUCCCAAUGAGAAUGGAAACAAGCAAAGCUUUACUCGUUCAUCUGGCACUCCCGUCAUCUUCACAGUGUUACAGAUUUCACUAAACGUUGUCAAAUGGUCAUAUGGGUUCUCAUUUGACAAGCCGUGAAACUGGUUUCCUGACACCAGAUGGAUAAGCGCUGGAUUCAUCACCAUGUUAGUCGUAUGAUAUGUUGGCAUGGCUAUGCUGUUGAAGUGGAAAGGGCCAACAACAUUAGAUUGAUCUACUGGAGUGCGUCUUGGAGGAGGAUGUUCUACUGCCAUCUCCUAUGCUCUUUGAUCUGGUGAAGGUGACAAUAAUCUAUCAGGAGAGGGAAACAACUCCCUAGAUGGGCGUCUUACUCUCCUUCCCCUUGUUUCACUCAAGCUUUCAAGAAGAGGUUGCGUAUUUUUCUUGCUCCUAGUAUGUCUAGUCUCCUGCAUGCACAAGAAACAAAAACCCUAGUAACACUUUUAUAUAAAAAUAAAACAAAAAUAAAACAAAAACAAAAUAUAUACAAUCAAGUCAAAUUAAAUCAAUUUACACUACUAGAUAAGUUAAACCACGAGUCCCCGGAAACGACGCCAAAAACUUGUUAAAUCCCUAGCAAGUGUACCAAAUCGUUAUCAAGUAAUAUAAAACGGGUAAGUCCGAGUAUCGUUUCCUAAAGGACUCUUAGGCCUUAACUUUCAUGUAAACUAAUCGCAUAAGACUUGAGAAAAGAAUUAAAUUUAGGUUUUGUAUGCAAGACUAAAAUAAACAUGCAAAAUGUAGUGAAUCAAUUGGCUAGAAAAAGACUAUGGAUGAAUGGAGUUGUUGGGGUUUACAAUUUCAUCUUAUCCACCCUCUUAUAUCUACUCUUCUUAUCUAAUUCGCUGAUUUAUCAUAUUGUCAUGCAAACUUCGCUGAUUUAUCAUAUUGUCAUGCAAACUUUCUUAGUCUACCCUAAACCCAAUCUCUUGGCAAAAAGAGCCUAUUACUAAUUAUUGGCUUGCUAUCUCUAGCCUCCCAUAGUAACUAAUAAUGCAUGAUAAACGGAAGCAAAAUAUAAUUGAUCGUCCUACCCAUAUCUCUAGGUGGUAUUAGAAUAAUCAAGGAAUUCCCCCCAGUUCAUGACAUUACUGUACAUCUCCGUAUCAAUAAAGACAAACAACAUUUACCGAAUGAGUUAAACGAUAAAAGCAUAAAGCAAAGGAAAGGAACCCAACAAUUGAUAAGAUAAGCAUAUAAAGAAGAUAAGAAUUUUGAUAUAAGAGAGUUUCAAAAGAUUACAUUGUUCCUCAACAACCUAGGGUUUAGUUCACCAUGGACAUGGUGAAUCUAGAUGGAAAAUAAUGGAAGAAUAAACCCUAAAUUUGGUAUAUUGGAGCCUAAGCAUCCAAGGAACCUCCUCCAAGGUGUGUAGAACUGCUCUGGACUUCUCUGUCUGCCAAAAGAUUACAAUUUGAAUCGCACUGGGUUUAUUUAUAAACCAAAAAAAUAACAAAAUUGAAGCCCAAUAAAAACAGAAAACUGUUCAAUGCCUAAUUAGACCGCUCAGCAAUUUUCCUCUAGUCGCGCCACCGCUUAGCGAUCAGUUUUACCGCUGAGCGGUUUGCCUCCAAUCACUCAAGCCGCUCAGCGUUGGUUUUGGGCGCUCAGCGGUUCAUAGACUCUUCUUUUCUUCCUUUUUCUUCUUCCUUCUUGAGUCUAAGUCCGUCCUAAUUCACUUCCAUCUUCAAUUCUCAUCAAAACUCUGCAAAACAUUGCAAAAACAAGCAUAAUAUCUCUAAAACCAACUUUUGACUCUCUCAUGAUUCAACGAAGUGUUUUACUUGAUUUUAAGCUCAUUCUAAGCCACAAAGGGUGUGUUUUGAUAUCAUAUUUACACAUGAAAAUAACGGUUUUUAUACCGUUAUCAAUAAUACACCUACACAGCAAACUAGUUUAGCACUCGUAUAACCUGUUAUACUGCCCGAAAAAUACAGCCAAAAUGAUAGCAACAUAGAACCUUUUGUCAAACAGGUUGUGUGUAGGAUGUCCAAUAACUUCAAAAGCAAUGAUUUAAUCAGUUACAAAUAAGGAGGCACGUCAAAAUGAUCCUAGGAAGAGUUCUAGAGUAGAUUAGAAAAGCAAUGAAAGUUCACGAAUUAAAAUUGGAUCAAAAUAGUUGUACACUGCAAAUUUCACAAACUGUUUGUGAUAUUGCCUCAAAGAACAUUCAAUUUAUGAUGCAGACUUGUUAAUUUCAGAUUUGACAGACUUCACAAUUGGAUGCACUGGUUCGUUCAACUUUUUACUAUUAUUGCAGUAUCUUUUGAAUAUUGUCAAUUGUGUUUUAUGGACCAAAGCUUUUACUACAUCCACAAUUAAUAUCUGAAACACCAAUUUUCAGUUGAAGAUUGAAAUUUCUAAUGUAGCAGCUAUGUUUUUGAACCAGAAAUGACCCAAAAUUUGGACAAGUCAUAUAUGGAAUUUGCAUAGAGCAGUGUAUGGUCAAUUUAGACUUUUACAAACAUGUUUGAUUGAUGAAAACAAACUUAUUUGAACACACUUUCAGAUCAGAUUCAGCCUAACAAACCAUUUGAGUGAUGCAGUUCUGAUGCAUUCCGAUAUAAGCAACUAUAGCAUCUAAAUUUUAGGAAUGAAUUUCAAUCAGCUGUAAAACGAUUGAAAUAAAUUUAAGAUAGCAAAAGAAAGUUGCUCAAAGUAGCAGAAUGUUAAUUUGGAUGAUUAACGAUGAUUUAGGUGCUCAACCAAAUUAACACGCAGAAAUCACUUAACAAAGCACGUGUAGUUCGGUUUACUGCCAAUUCAAGUCUAUCUGACUUUUGCAAUGACAAUUUCACAUUCAGAAAAUGUUCAUUAUAGACUAGCUAUUAUUUAAACAGUGGUACUUAUGUAGAAUAGCAAGUCACAUAAGAAAUCAGGCAAUGGAACAAUGAUUGCAUAUGUUCAAAACAGCAUCAGCCACACAACUCUACUGUCGCAACCGAUUUCGCGACGGGACGACGAUCCAAAAAGAAAACAAUUUUGAAAAAGAGUUUUGGAGUCACCACCAUAGUUUAUUCUGGAAAACUACGAAAAAAGCAUAAAAUGAUAAAGCACGGUCCACGAAAACCAAAGAUAGGGUUCAGGAGUCGGUUACGUGUAGGGAAGGUAUUAGUACCUUUAAUUAAAAUACGCGAAUAAAGAUGUGGUUUGCAAAAUGUUUAACUAUCGCAAAAAAUAAAACUCUAAAGAAACAAAAUAUAUUUUUUUUAUUUUUUGUGCCCGACAAGGAUUGACCUUGCUCUUACAUAUUCUCAAAGUGAGAAAUCAGGGUUACGUAGUUCUAGCUGAAAGAUAGUUCGUUUUAAGAUGUUUUUAGUUUUUGAAGAUUUUUAUAUUUUUUUGGUAUUUUAUAUAUAAGAAAGAGAAAAGGUUUUCAACACAAGGUAGACAGAAUGGUCGCACGUGUGCUUAAACCUUUAAAAAUAAAUUUUGUUGAUUUUUUUUAAAAGAAGAAGAAAAAGAAAAAAAAAAGUUUUUAGCACAAGGCAGACAGAAUGGUCGCACGUGUGCUUAAACCUUUUNNNNNNNNNNNNNNNNNNNNNNNNNNNNNNNNNNNNNNNNNNNNNNNNNNNNNNNNNNNNNNNNNNNNNNNNNNNNNNNNNNNNNNNNNNNNNNNNNNNNNNNNNNNNNNNNNNNNNNNNNNNNNNNNNNNNNNNNNNNNNNNNNNNNNNNNNNNNNNNNNNNNNNNNNNNNNNNNNNNNNNNNNNNNNNNNNNNNNNNNNNNNNNNNNNNNNNNNNNNNNNNNNNNNNNNNNNNNNNNNNNNNNNNNNNNNNNNNNNNNNNNNNNNNNNNNNNNNNNNNNNNNNNNNNNNNNNNNNNNNNNNNNNNNNNNNNNNNNNNNNNNNNNNNNNNNNNNNNNNNNNNNNNNNNNUUUUAGCACAAGGCAGACAGAAUGGUCGCACGUGUGCUUAAACCUUUUGAAAUAAUUUUUUGGUUGAUUUUUUUGAAAGUAGAAGAAGAAAAAGGCUUUUUAGCAUAAGGCAGACAGAAUGGUCGCACGUGUGCUUAAACCUUUAAGAUAAAUUUUCGUUAAUUUUUAUUGACGAAGAAGAUGAAAAAGGUUUUUAGCACAAGGCAGACAGAAUGGUCACACGUGUGCUUAAACCUUUUAAAAUAAUUUUAUAAAAGAAAGAGGAAAGGUUUUCAGCACAAGGCAGACAGAAUGGUCGCACGUGUACUUAAACCUUUUAAAAUAAUUUUUGGUUAAUUUUUUGAACGAAGACGAUGAAAAAGGUUGUUAACACAAGGCAGACAGAAUGGUCGCACGUGUGCUUAAACCUUUUAAAAAUGAUUUUAUAGAAGAAAGAGAAAAGGUUUUCAGCACAAGGCAGAUAGAAUAGUCGCAUGUGCGCUUAACCCUUUUAAAAUAAAUUUUUAUUUUCUAAAAAUGUUUUCAAAAUUUUUUAUUACUUCUUCUCAAUAUAAAAAUAUAACAAUAUUUAGGUGAAUAGGUAGAUAAAGUACAUAACGUGAGGGUAGGACUAGUAACUAUGGGAGUGCACAAAAGAAAGCUAGGCAAGCAUACAACAUAUAGUAAAAAACAGGGGUGCACCAAGUAAUUAAAGGAAAAAAAGGUUGCAGAAAUGGAAAAGGGCUUAAGCCCAGAACACACAAAAUGAAUACGAGGGUGUCAAGAUGAGGAAUGGGAGUGCGGAUGAGAAAUGGGGGAGCGGAUAGAACGGUUUUAUUAUUCCUUUUUGGUUGAUUCGCAAAGUGGGCUAGAGCCUAAGGAGAAAAGGGUUGCGGAUGGAGGCGAAGGAGGUGUGAUAAAAAGAAUAGCCCAGGCGUCCUGGCCAAGGCCUUUUCCUAACCUAGAAACCUAAGGGGGUUCGAAACUCUUCAUCCCAUUCUGCACUUCGCCACUUCAGAGACCUCCCACCCCUCUCUCCCGCACCACUUACGCAGAGUUGGGAUCGCACAUUACCACCCUCAUCUAACGACCACCACGUCACCAUCGUGUCCCCACCCAGUGUCACCGGCGUCAGCCACCAACCGGCCAGUCGCCGCAGACUGAGACUUCGCCCCCUUUCUCUACUCGCCCAUUUAGGGUUGUGGGCGCGCCUCAUAUGCGCCGCUGCUCCUAUGCCAUGGCCACUGCGUCCCCGUCGCUGCCGUCGUGCGCAACCACCGCAAGUCGCCAUUUGUCGCGCAGUCAGGGAUGCCACGAUACGACUCUUCUUCGCGCGCGAGAAGCUCUCACCCUCCUCCGUUCGAACACUGCUUGAGCGAGCCCAAACGUCGCCUUCAUGAACCAGGGUCGCGCCGGCACGCGAAUCGCCACCGGAGCUGCCGUCAUUCGACCCAUGGCGUCGCCGACGACACCCGUCACGAACAGGACAUGUCCACGCGUAAGAGGGGAGGACCGUAGCUCCACCGAGACGAGUCUCCACCACCACGGACGAAAUCAACAACCGUCGACGAAGAUGGCCACCGCUGCCCUUGCCGGAGUUCGCUUCCUCACCGGCGCCACCAGCGUCACCCUCUUCCCUCUCCAUUCGAGGAAUUCUUACUUGUCUCCUAAACGCCAAAAAAAUCCCAGCAACCCUCACCGCCACUGUCGAGGACGAAGGCAUUUUUUCUUGUUUUAUUUAGUUAAUUUAUCUAUCAAUUGAUGUUUUGGUUUACUGGGAUUGGAAACAUUGGAGUGUAUGUUGGGCGCUAGAAAUUGGUGUUUGUUCUUGGUGAUUGGUUUUCUGGUUUUCUGGUGACAAUACUUAGAGUUCCAUAUGAUGGAGGGGAAUGGCAGGUUCUGUAUCUGUAUGUAGGUUUGUGGCAAGGCUUUGUUUUCUAGGUAUAAGCAAAUGACAUUGAAACCCGAUGCUUGAAGAGUAUACAUUUAUUUCCUAUUGUCAUUUAUCUGAUGAAUUUUGUUGGCCUUGAAAAUAUAUUUUUGAUGCAGUUUUGAUUAACACAGUACGCCAUGAAGAAAACGAAGGUAACUAUGCGCACUGAUGAAAGAUCAUUCAUCCAUAUCCAGAGAAGACAGACCCAACUAUAUGCACUCAUUAAAUACCAUUCAUUCAUAUCCGGACAUAACAGAGAGCAUGCAUUCAUAUAAAACUAAGAGCUUAGAUAUGGAGCCUUACCUUCGCAGCUUUAAAAGCACCGGUGAAAGGAGCUGACGAAAGCGAAUGGUCUUCCCCUCCUCUGGCCGUGAGGUCCCUUCCUACCAGGUAGUGAUGAUCAAUGAUGGUCUAGAGUUUCCAAUCUUGGUGAUGGUAAGGUUUUUUCGGAUGAAUAACGUCGUCCUUUUGUUUUCUCGCAAUGGUGAAUAAUAAUCCUCAAUUCCCUCCAGCCUGGUAAAGGAAAUCCGAUCCCUGAAUAAUCAAUCUCGUCCCCUUUUAGAAAACUAAUUUCCAUCCCAAGAAAAAUGUUCCUCUAUUUCCCUUCUGGAUAAUCCGGGCGUAUCCCCCAAGGAUUUCUUCCUUAUUUCUUUCUUCCUUUUAUGUUUCAAUUGGAUCAAUUAAGGAAACAAUUUGAAUAUCCUUCCCUCUUUGGUAAUUUAUUGCAGCUAAUUAGUAUUCGAUUGCAGCUAAUUGGUAUCUGAUUGCACCAGUCUGUAAAUAUUUUCCUCAUGUGGAUCGUGAUAUUUUGCAGAAAGAGAACCAAUCU
RNAcentral lists this long non-coding RNA (33724 nucleotides) under Vigna radiata. Its description in RNAcentral is "long non-coding RNA (VRAD_LNC008534)". Lineage: Eukaryota; Viridiplantae; Streptophyta; Magnoliopsida; Fabales; Fabaceae. The record is from RNAcentral.